AUCUUCUGACAUAUUCCACUCCCGCCCAAUAUUUGAUUCCUCCUGCUUUAUUCAAUUUAUCUUUCUUAUCGAAGUUAGUCCUACAUCACUCAAGAUACAAAUUAGAUCAUAAAAUCAUCAAUUGAUUUCAUCAUCAAAAUCAAGAUUCAAUUGAUCCUUCGGUGUAUCCCCCAAUUCAUCUAACCUGAUACUUGAUUAUUAACUCUAGCCUAACUUUG
Molecule: long non-coding RNA, 218 nt
Filed under: Musa acuminata (dwarf banana)
Lineage: Eukaryota; Viridiplantae; Streptophyta; Magnoliopsida; Zingiberales; Musaceae
Description: long non-coding RNA (MACU_LNC007900)
Source: RNAcentral